This 2328-nucleotide long non-coding RNA is filed under the name Marmota monax (woodchuck). The record is from RNAcentral. Lineage: Eukaryota; Metazoa; Chordata; Mammalia; Rodentia; Sciuridae.
GAAAUACUUCAUGAUAAGCCAAGUUCUUUGUCAAAACAAACUCAAACAUACAGUGUAAGAAAACUCAAAGAAUUUAAAAUUAUUUAUUUGACAGCUUGGUGAACUCUUGAAAGAUUGGCGGCGUCUCAAUGUUGCUAUCACCAGAGCCAAACAUAAACUGAUUCUCCUGGGCUGCGUGUCCUCACUGAAGCGCUAUCCUCCUUUGGAGAAGUUAUUUUGUUAUCUAAACACAGAAAAAUUAAUAUCCUUUUUGUUAUGUAUAUGGUCACAUUGAAUUGUGCUACUGUGAGUACUUUAUGUCCUUAUAUAAAUUAAGACUCAGAGUCUUACGUUUUCCAUGGGCAUAUUUCAAAGAUCUGAUUCAGCAAAGGAAAGAGAACAAUUUUCAGGGAGUCAUGUAAGCCAGUAGUGAAGUAAUGAGUUGAUGGAGAGGGAUAGUUUCUGAAUUGAGAAACAGAAAAAAGGAAUGUGAUCCAUUGUCCUACAAAUCGCAGGUGUAGGAAAAUGGGUUAUCCCUUCUGGUUCUGCAACUCCAAAUUUAUAACUUUGUUUUCAAUCCAAGGUAAAAUAUUACAUUAAAAAACUGAGCCAGGUGUGGUGGCACCUGUAAUCCUGGCAACUAGGGAGGCUAACACAGGAGGAUUGCAAGUUAAGGCCAGACUCAGCAACUUAGCAAGGCCCUUGUCUUAAAACAAGAAAUAAAAAGCGCUGGGGAUGUGGUUCAGUGGUUAAUCCCUGGUACCAAAAAGAAAAAGGGGGGGGGGGGAGAGGGCUGGGGUUGUAGCUCAGUUGCCACUCAGAGCACUUGCCUCGAAGCGUGAGGCCCUGGGUUCAAUCCUCAGCAUUGCUUAGUACCUCGCUGUUACUGAGGCUGGCUUUGAACCUACCACCCUCCUGCCUCAGCCUCCAAACCACUGGGAUUACAGGCAUGUGCCACUAUGCCCAGCACAUUCCAUUAUUUUUUACUUUAUGGAUAUAAUUUGUUCCUGACGAUUGAACUUGGGCUUUAUGCAUGUUAGGCAAUGACUCUACCAUUGACUACAUCCCUUGCCUUAUUUUACAGUCUUAGAUUAAAAUAUAUAAAUCUUAUUGCCUCAGUGUAUAAGUAUCCAUAGAAUACCAUAAGAUCUUGACAUUUCUUUGUAGUAAACCAAAUCACAAAAUGUGAAAUAAUGUCAUGAAUGUUUUUGUGCAAUUUCAUACUGUGUUUAGUAUAUCUUCCUUAAUUUGUCCUACAUCAUUGAUCUCCCGUCAAGAGAACAUGAAAGUCUCUGUAACAUUUUGGAUGAUUUUCAAAGAGGAUAAAAUGCUGUUUUCCUUGCUUUUUGAUAUAUGGACAGUGUCUCUUGGCUCGUGUCUAAGAUUCAUAAUUUAGCUUUGCUAUAAAGGCUGUGUUUGGUUAAACUGUGAAAAUGACUUUUAUCCAAAGGGAGGAAACGCAAGUUACAUGUACUCUGUGCAGAGUUCCAGAUUUUUGUUUUCUAUUUUUUUUUUAAUCUUAUUAACAUAAAAUUCUAUUGCCAUACAAAAUCCAGCACUACCUUUUUACCAGUACAGAUGUGCUCCAAACUUUGGAAAGUCUAAAUUUAUAGGUAUGAUAAAUUCAUUUUUGUAUGACCUAGAUAAAGAGUUUGAGGCUGGGCGCGGUGGCGCAACUUGGGAAAUUGGGAAGCGGCUCAGUGGUCAAGUGCCCCUAAAUUCAAUCCCUGGUACCCGACCACGCCCCCCCCCCAAAAAAAAAUUGACAAGAUUUUUUUACCAAUUUUAAAGAUGGAUUAAAUUUUGGAUCUAAGCUUUAUAUUUUUAAGUCUAAAAUUUCAAAACUAAUUUGAUUUAUAGAUUCAGUCAUAAGAAUUGUAUCUGCAAGUUGGGCACAGUGAUGCAUGCCUAUAACCCCAGCAACUUAGAAGGCUGAGGCAGGAGAAUCCCAAGUUCAAGGCCAGCUUGGGCAGCUUAUCAAGACCCUGUCUCAAAAUAUAAAAAUGGCUGGGGGUGUGGCUCAGUGGUAUAGUCCCCUGGGGGUUCAAUCUCCCCAUCCUCAGUAUCACACUCACAAAAAAAGGUAUAGUCCCUAUUUUCAAUUAUUCUGUUUGUUUACCUCUUUGUUUGGGGGCAUUAUUAAAUUUUCCCUUUUUGUAUAAAGAUACCGCAGAGUGAUUAAUUGUAUAUAUGAUGACAGAGUUUAGCCUUAGGGUAUCCAUCUUCUGGAGGAAAAUUCUUUCUAUUGAGUGUUUUUGUUUAAUGAAUGUUAGAUAUUUUUAAAAUUAUUGCUUCUACCUUUGAAAUUCUUAUUUAAUAAAUUGUUUUUUACUGAUGGACUUUACUGUG